Molecule: ribosomal RNA, 491 nt
Filed under: uncultured bacterium
Lineage: Bacteria
Description: partial 16S ribosomal RNA
Rfam family: Bacterial small subunit ribosomal RNA
Source: RNAcentral
GUGAACGCUGGCGGGAGGCCUAACACAUGCAAGUCGAACGGCAGCACAGUAAGAGCUUGCUCUUACGGGUGGCGAGUGGCGGACGGGUGAGGAAUACAUCGGAAUCUACUUUUUCGUGGGGGAUAACGUAGGGAAACUUACGCUAAUACCGCAUACGACCUACGGGUGAAAGCAGGGGAUCUUCGGACCUUGCGCGAUUGAAUGAGCCGAUGUCGGAUUAGCUAGGUGGCGGGGUAAAGGCUCACCAAGGCGACGAUCCGUAGCUGGUCUGAGGGGAUGAGCGGCCACGCUGGAAGUGAGACACGGGCCAGACUCGUACGGGAGGCAGCAGUGGGGAAUAUUGGACAACGGGCGUAAGCCUGAUCCAGCCAUACCGCGUGGGUGAAGAAGGCCUUCGGGUUGUAAAGCCCUUUUGUUGGGAAAGAAAAGCAGCAUGUUAAUACCCCGCUGUUCUGACGGUACCCAAAGAAUAAGCACCGGCUAACUUCGUG